RNAcentral lists this ribosomal RNA (482 nucleotides) under uncultured bacterium. Its description in RNAcentral is "partial 16S ribosomal RNA". It matches the Rfam family "Bacterial small subunit ribosomal RNA", at positions 29 to 507 of the family's 1533-position model. The record is from RNAcentral.
ACGAACGCUGGCGGCGUGCCUAACACAUGCAAGUCGAGCGGGGAUUUAAGUGGAAGUUCUUCGGAAUGGAGAUUUAAAUUCUAGCGGCGGACGGGUGAGUAACGCGUGAACAAUCUGUCCCGGACAGGGGGAUAACACUUGGAAACAGGUGCUAAUACCGCAUAAGACCACGGCCUCGCAUGGGGCUGAGGUAAAAGGAGCAAUCCGGCUCGGGGUGAGUUCGCGUCCGAUUAGCUAGUUGGUGAGGUAACGGCCCACCAAGGCGACGAUCGGUAGCCGGCCUGAGGGGGUGAACGGCCACAUUGGAACUGAGAGACGGUCCAAACUCCUACGGGAGGCAGCAGUGGGGAAUAUUGGGCAAUGGGCGAAAGCCUGACCCAGCAACGCCGCGUGAGGGAAGAAGGUUUUCGGAUUGUAAACCUCUGUCCUAUGGGACGAAGGAAGUGACGGUACCAUAGGAGGAAGCCCCGGCUAACUACGUG